Molecule: ribosomal RNA, 397 nt
Filed under: uncultured bacterium
Lineage: Bacteria
Description: partial 16S ribosomal RNA
Rfam family: Bacterial small subunit ribosomal RNA
Source: RNAcentral
AUACGUAGGGGGCAAGCGUUGUCCGGAAUGAUUGGGCGUAAAGGGCGCGUAGGCGGCCCGGUAAGUCUGAAGUGAAAGUCCUGGUUUUAAGCUGGGAAUUGCUUUGGAUACUGUCGGGCUUGAGUGCAGGAGAGGUAAGUGGAAUUCCCAGUGUAGCGGUGAAAUGCGUAGAGAUUGGGAGGAACACCAGUGGCGAAGGCGACUUACUGGACUGUAACUGACGCUGAGGCGCGAAAGUGUGGGGAGCAAACAGGAUUAGAUACCCUGGUAGUCCACACUGUAAACGAUGAAUGCUAGGUGUAGGGGGUAUCGACCCCUUCUGUGCCGCAGUUAACACAAUAAGCAUUCCGCCUGGGGAGUACGGCCGCAAGGUUGAAACUCAAAGGAAUUGACGGGG